This 1975-nucleotide long non-coding RNA is filed under the name Equus asinus (donkey). RNAcentral describes it as "lncRNA (ENSEASG00005030966.1)". The record is from RNAcentral. Lineage: Eukaryota; Metazoa; Chordata; Mammalia; Perissodactyla; Equidae.
CCGCGUUUCCCACUCCCCGGUCUCGCCCCGCUGUACCGCUCCAACCACACUCGCGGGCCCCUCCUCGAAGGAUUAAGGAGACGUGCUCCCACUGGCCGCCAGACGAGCCCUAACCACCACCCGCGCUCCUCCUAACUUGGGGUCCUCCUGGCCCUCACAUUUGCAUAUGGGGCUUUCUAGGCCCUCGAUUGGCCCCUGCGAUGCUUGACUUGGUGCCACUGAAAUGCAGCUGCUCCUGUGAAAAAGAAUUGUUUAUUCUUAGACUUCUGGAAGACUAUGGGUCAUUCCUCUCUACUGAGGGCUCUUGGAAGACAUGUGAGGAGGAGAAGCAGGCCCUUCUUUGAAAACCUAUAGUCAAGAGAACUAAUGGAGGAGGCCAGAUCCACAUCUUUCAUGUGAAGCCUGUUGGAGCUGGUCCAGGAGAGUUUCCCAGAGGAUGUGAGCUUUUAGCAGAUUCAUUGGGAGCAUUGCAUCCGAUGAGAGUGCCCAGUCUUCAUGCUGUGCUCUGAUAGGAUGCUGGAGGAAAGGUGAAGGGACUGAAAAAACCCUCCAGCAUAGUUUUCACUUGAAAUGAAAACAUUUGAGCUACAGCAGAUGCAGAAAGAUGUCUUAUCUGAAUUUCUCUUAUCUAAAUAAAGCAGAGCUUUAUGAGAGUCACCUGCCACAACUGCCUCCCUCAUCCUCCAGGAAAAUUGCCAGGGAGGCAGGCUCUGUCCUUGGACACAUGGACAUUCCAAAAAAAUUGUGUUAACAGGUCUCAUCAGGGUCUUCCAUCCUUUGAAGCCCUAAACCUCCCUUUUUAAGCUGAUGUAUAAACGUUUAUCUCUACCUGUUUGAAGAGUUACUCACUCCUGAGUGCUCUCAUAUAUAUGUGAAUAUACUUUGUUACCUUUUGCACCUAAGUUGGUAGAGGAAAAGUUUUCCUCCCAACACAGGACACUGUCCCUUUACCUGCUGAUCUGCGCAGGCAGGAGGCUAGAGGCAAAGGCAUAGCUUAGCCCCAAGCAGACACUGAAAACCUGCUCACCCUGGAGGGCCCGAGGGGGAACCAGCAGCCCAUUGCUGCUCUUCUAGAAACCUUUCUGCCGUCCUGUUGUCUUCCCUCUUCCCUCCAGGUGGCCCUGGGCUAUCUUGCCACUCCCCCUCUCCAGGGCUCUGGGGACCCAGGUGACCAUCAUCAACUGGCCACCCAGCAGAUGCUUCCCUAAGACCAACUGCCCCAGCUCUGUUCCCCUCCCCCAUCCCGCCUCUUUCUUUCCCCAGUGUCCUACCAAUCUGCUCUGCCACGCUCCGCUCCCGCUUUGGUCUCACAUCCCUCUGGAGUGAUAUUGUGAUGGAAAUGAGGGAGAGGAUGCAGGAGCAAGCAGCAAAGAUUUACCGCUUCCACAGGGUUUCCAUUAAAAUCCCUGACAAUCAGUUAUUUAUGAAAGGGCUGGCUGCAGUGGGAGCUAAUAGGCCAGAGCCUGGCACUGCUGUCCGUUCAGGGGUGAUCACAGGAACAAACGCAGGGUGAACAGUAGAGCUAUCCCACUGAAGAGCAAAGGCGGAUUUGACCCCAUCAGACAUCCCCUCCAGGGCCAGAGAGCAACAGCCAGGAAGUCAGAGAGCAUCCGUGAUUUGUGAUUUGUGCCGGGCAAACCAGAAACAAACAUCCACAUAGCAAACACUGAGGGUUUUUCUGAGCCUGGUGUGAAAGGCUGAAGCAAUGUGUUGGAGCGUCCUUCCAGUCAUCAAAAAACUUAGACUGGGUCCCCUCCUCUGAGCUCCAACUCAGAGGCAAGAGUGUGCAAAAAACGCAGAUCUUAAGCUGCUGUUUUCAGUGUCUUUCUGUUCCUAAGGCACCACUUGACUAAAUAAAUCCCUCUGAAGGUUGUUGGCUCUACAGUUGACACGCAGACUCUGUGUCUCAGUUUGGGACUCUUCUUUUAAGUAGUUAAUGAAAAAAAGAGUCCUCCUUCUGCCCGCCUGAACCAAG